This 270-nucleotide ribosomal RNA is filed under the name uncultured prokaryote. RNAcentral describes it as "partial 16S ribosomal RNA". It matches the Rfam family "Bacterial small subunit ribosomal RNA", at positions 524 to 792 of the family's 1533-position model. The record is from RNAcentral.
UACGGAGGAUGCAAGCGUUAUCCGGAUUUAUUAGGUUUAAAGGGUGCGUAAGGCUGAAUAGUCAGUCAGUGGUGAAAUCCUGCAGCUUAACUGUAGAACUGCCAUUGAUACUGCUAUUCUUGAGUACAGUUGAGGUAGGCGGAAUGUGUAGUGUAGCGGUGAAAUGCUUAGAUAUUACACAGAACACCGAUUGCGAAGGCAGCUUACUAAACUGUUACUGACGCUGAGGCACGAAAGCGUGGGGAGCGAACAGGAUUAGAUACCCUUGUA